This 3365-nucleotide long non-coding RNA is filed under the name Equus caballus (horse). RNAcentral's name for it is "lncRNA (ENSECAG00000054676.1)". Lineage: Eukaryota; Metazoa; Chordata; Mammalia; Perissodactyla; Equidae. The record is from RNAcentral.
CUGUCCCCUCAGGUGCCAAUCUUUAAAAUAAAAUUUUUUAAAAAUGAGCGUAUGCAAAAAUAGUGAAAUCUGAGUAAAGUCUGUCGUCUGGUUCACUGUAUUGUUCCAAUCAAUUUUCUUGUUGUGAUAAUACACCAUGAUUAUGUUGGGGGAGGCUGGGUAAUGGGCACAUGGGACCUCUCUGGACUGUUUUUCCAACUUUUUGUGAGUUUACAAUUAUUUCAAAAUUAAAAAGUUCUAAAAGCUUAGCACAUCUCAAACAACAUAAACCAAAAACAAAGGUCAAUUAUACCCAGACAAAUCAUAAUCAAACUGCUGAUAAUCAGAGGUAAAGAAAACAAAUCUCAAAAUUAAAAAUGAAAAAAUAUUUUGAGUAACUGUUCAUGCCAGACACUGCUUUAGGUCCUUUACUUGUGUCUUAUUACUCCGACAAUUCCUAUUAUUUAGGAGUUAUGCUCUCCAUUUUCAAGAUGAGAGCACUGACUCAGAAAGAACACACAUCUGCUAAGCGGCAGUAAGGGAUUUAGGCCCAGGUCCACUGUAUUGAGCGAAGUCCAAUCAUUUCGUAUAUGCGCCCAAACAUUUUGCACACACCUUCCUAACUAAGCAAGGACAGAGUGUACAUACUGAGCAUGAGCAUAUUCCUUACUGUUUUAGUAUAAAGUCAGAGGAAUAUAAUGUGUUUCUCCUUUCUAGGCUACGUCAUUUCAACUAUUAAAAUAGAAAAAAUUAUAAUGUUCAAGACAAUUUGUACCAAAUUAAGGUACGUUAGGUUACAAACAACAGUAAAUGACUCUGGAUAAUUGGAGAAAGCAAGCAUUUAUUUAAGGGUUAGGAGGGAAGCUCAGCGAAUUAAAGUAAUAGUCAAAACAGCCAGUUCUUUCCAAAAAGAGGAAUUGAAGCAAGUCCGGUGGUAGAGGCUCCUAGACGUAAAUGUGAGUUGCAGACAAUGGAAAACUCACUACUAACCCCCACAAGCUCUAUGUCUUCUGUUUUAAUUUUCCAAGCGAUCAGUACAGAUUGGUCCAACACUCAUCGAUGUUUACCCCUAGGGUCAGUCAUGGAAGUCAAGCAGUGAAGCAAUGACUUUGCUUGGCUAGUCUGACUUACUUGCCCACAUAUUUGGCCAGAAGGUAGAGUCUCCUAUCAAAAGAAGAAGGAAAAAGUGCAAGGCAGAUGAAAGCAAAAGCAACUGUAAUUCGCCUCUUGGUGUCUAUGAACUUGUGCACACGCAGGUGCACAUACACUUCUUAUGCAUACAUAUCUAUGAGGAAGGAUGGAACACAGAACAGUUUCAAGAUAAUCAAAUAUGUAUAUAAACAGGUGUCCCAAAUGCCAUAGUGCAGUUUUAAGCUUUAAUAAUUUCAGAAGGGUAAAAGCUACAAAUUAUAGAGAUCCUCAUUUGAGACUUGAAUUGUUUUAAUUUCCCUUCUCCUGUAGAGUUUUGAGAAUUGUUAUAAGACUUUUUCAAUUUCCAUUGUUUGUUUCUGUCCUUCUGAUUGAAGACGUCAGAGUGACAAACAAAAAUUGAAAUUUAUCUUUGAAAAUACAGUGCAAAUGACACGCAGAUUAUAUUUUUCAGAAGUUGAUAGCUUUUACACGUCCAAAGUGAUUAAGCUUAAAACUGCACUAUGGCAUUUGGGACACCUGUUUAUAUACAUAUUUGAUUAUCUUGAAACUGUUCUGUGUUCCAUCCUUCCUCAUAGAUAUGUAUGCAUAAGAAGUGUAUGUGCACCUGCGUGUGCACAAGUUCACAGACACCAAGAGGUGAAUUACAGUUGCUUUUGCUUUCAUCUGCCUUGCACUUUUUCCUUCUUUGGGGCACCUGUAUGUAUACAUGAUUUAUUAUAUGUUCCAUCCUUCCUAACAUGACUGUAUAAGAAGUGUUUGUGUGCUUCCAUGUGCAUAAGCCGAGAGGCGCCAAGGGGUGAGUUACAGUUGCCUUUGGUUUCAUUCUUUUCCUCUCUUAAUAAGAAAGUGCGCCCUCCAGUCGAAUAACUGGGCAAGUGAGUAUAUGAGAGGAAGAUAUGGGAAGAGGUAUAUUGUUCAUAUAAAGAAAAGGAUAUAGAAGAAUGCGUAAAAUUGUUAAUAAAGAACAUUUAAGGGAAAUGUGUUGGGAUGAGUGCAGGAAAGAAGGUGUAUUACAAUCUGUACUAUUGAAAUUCUGUAGUGUUCACAUUCAUGCAUCAAGCAUGUAUUCAUGGAUGUUAUAUGUGGGGGAGAAUAAUGAAGUUGGACAGAGUGAAAGUCAGUAUGUGAGCUGAAGAGUAAGACUAUGAGCCAGGUGUUUGAGCCUGCAACAAAUGAAAGUGACUUGAGAAGAAUGAAGUAGAUCUCAAAGUGAGAAAAGAAAUUAGAAUAGCCUUUUAAACCCUCUGUCAAUUUAGCAGUCUCCUCCCCUAAAUUUCUGCCCGGUUGUCAUCGAUCUUCUGUUCCACAGCUGAUUGCUCUAGGUAUGAGAAAUUUGCUUCCCGUGGUACUAACAUGUCUCUACCUAUUCUGUCUCUUCUCCACAAGGCAAUCGUGCAGUUAUUUUCGGUGGCUGCUGACUCCCUGAGGGGGGUGAGCAAGAAAGUCUUUCCAGAGGUCUCCUGAGAAUGUAGUAUUCCCAGUAUUCCUUGGGCUCCUCACAGCUAUAUGUAGAUAUUUUCUCAAGAGCUGGGCACCAUGUUUUCUCAGGGCAACUGGGAGCAGCUACAGAGGAUCGGGUGCAUCUAUCUUCAGGCCAGCCCUUACUCGAUGCUGUGGGGCUCAUGAGAAUUGUGGUGGUCUCAUCUGCCUGUAGGAGUGUGCUGGACACCAUCAUUUGAAAUCUUCAGGCCAAUGGGUCUGUGUUGCUGUGAGAAAACGAAAACAGAGAAGGAGAUCCAUUCAAUGAGGAAGUCAGCUUUUCUUAUUUUAGUGACAAGUGUUCAGCCACUCUCAGGAUAUCCUACAUGAUUUAGAAAAUUCAGGACAAUUUCCAGGUUCCAUUCUAACUGUGACUUCUGGAGCAUGGGAGAUGAGCUUUUCAUUUGUCCCAUUAACUAAAAAGACAUACUCUCAUUUAUUGCAGGAUGAACCUAGCUUUGGAAUGUCUAUGUUUAACUCUUCUACUGGUCACUUAGAACAAGAUUCUUCACACUAUAACAGGAAUAUUAAGCUGGAAGAAUUAUCCACAUUCAUAAAAAGAUAUGGGGGUCCUUUUGGGAAGCAACACAUUAAAUUAAAAGUUGCCAGAAAUGGUCCAUGACAGAAGGGUAGCUCUAUCCCCCUCCUUUCCCAUUUAUACCUGAGACUUUUGAGGAAGCAGCCAGUACUACUGGCUCCUGGAAUUUACCAAGGGAAAUUUUUCCCAGAAAUACAAGGAAAGGAUUCCACUAGUU